CCGGUGGACCGCGACUGGCGCGUAGGGAUGGAAUCGACCAUCGGGAAGCGGUCCCGUGGAUCCGCACGUCGUUGCCGAGCGCCUGGGCCGCCCGC
RNAcentral lists this non-coding RNA (95 nucleotides) under Kitasatospora aureofaciens. Its description in RNAcentral is "Streptomyces aureofaciens ZTP sequence". It matches the Rfam family "ZMP/ZTP riboswitch aptamer (pfl RNA motif)". Rfam says of the family: Previously known as pfl RNA. The record is from Rfam by way of RNAcentral. Lineage: Bacteria; Bacillati; Actinomycetota; Actinomycetes; Kitasatosporales; Streptomycetaceae.